UGCUGGAGGUAUCACAAGUGCGAAUGCUGACAUGAGUAACGAUAAAGGGGGUGAAAAACCUCCUCGCCGGAAGACCAAGGGUUCCUGUCCAACGUUAAUCGGGGCAGGGUAAGUCGGCCCCUAAGGCGAGGCCGAAAGGCGUAGUCGAUGGGAAACGGGUUAAUAUUCCCGUACUGCURCUUACUGCGAUGGGGGGACGGAGAAGGCUAGGUGGGCYUGGCGAUGGUUGUCCAGGUUCAAGUGCGUAGGCUGAUUUCUUAGGCAAAUCCGGGAAAUCAAGGCCGAGACACGAUGUCGAGCCACCAAGGUGGUGAAGUCAUUGAUGCCAUGCUUCCGGGAAAAGCCUCUAAGCUUCAGGUAAGUAGSAACCGUACUCCAAACCGACACAGGUGGUCGGGUAGAGAAUACCAAGGCGCUUGAGAGAACUCGGGUGAAGGAACUAGGCAAAAUGGUACCGUAACUUCGGGAGAAGGUACGCUGCCCGCGGUGAAGUCCCUWGCGGAUGGAGCUAUGGGCAGUCGCAGAUACCAGGUGGCUGCAACUGUUUAUUAAAAACACAGCACUGUGCAAAAUCGAAAGAUGACGUAUACGGUGUGACGCCUGCCCGGUGCCGGAAGGUUAAUUGAUGUGGUUAUCGCAAGAGAAGCCAUUGAUUGAAGCCCCGGUAAACGGCGGCCGUAACUAUAACGGUCCUAAGGUAGCGAAAUUCCUUGUCGGGUAAGUUCCGACCUGCACGAAUGGCGUAAUGAUGGCCACGCUGUCUCCACCCGAGACUCAGUGAAAUUGAAAUCGCAGUGAAGAUGCUGUGUACCCGCGGCUAGACGGAAAGACCCCGUGAACCUUUACUACAGCUUGGCACUGAACAUUGAGCCUACAUGUGUAGGAUAGGUGGGAGGCUUUGAAGCGGCGACGCCAGUUGCUGUGGAGCCAUCCUUGAAAUACCACCCUUGUAUGUUUGAUGUUCUAACUUAGCCCCRUUAUCYGGGGUGAGGACAGUGCCUGGUGGGUAGUUUGACUGGGGCGGUCUCCUCCCAAAGUGUAACGGAGGAGCACGAAGGUGGGCUAAUCACGGUCGGACAUCGUGAGGUUAGUGCAAUGGCAUAAGCCCGCUUAACUGCGAGAGUGACGGCUCGAGCAGGUACGAAAGUAGGUCAUAGUGAUCCGGUGGUUCUGAAUGGAAGGGCCAUCGCUCAACGGAUAAAAGGUACUCCGGGGAUAACAGGCUGAUACCGCCCAAGAGUUCAUAUCGACGGCGGUGUUUGGCACCUCGAUGUCGGCUCAUCACAUCCUGGGGCUGAAGUCGGUCCCAAGGGUAUGGCUGUUCGCCAUUUAAAGUGGUACGCGAGCUGGGUUUAGAACGUCGUGAGACAGUUCGGUCCCUAUCUGCCGUGGGCGUUGGAUGAUUGAGGGGAGCUGCUCCUAGUACGAGAGGACCGGAGUGGACGAACCGCUGGUGUUCGGGUUGUGUCGCCAGACGCAUUGCCCGGUAGCUAAGUUCGGCACAGAUAAGCGCUGAAAGCAUCUAAGCGCGAAGCUGGCCCCGAGAUGAGUCAUCCCUAGAGCCUCGAGCUCUCUAAAGGGUUGUNGUCGGCUCAUCACAUCCUGGGGCUGAAGUCGGUGCCAAGGGUAUGGCUGUUCGCCAUUUAAAGUGGUACGCGAGCUGGGUUUAGAACGUCGUGAGACAGUUCGGUCCCUAUCUGCCGUGGGCGUUGGAUGAUUGAGGGGAGCUGCUCCUAGUACGAGAGGACCGGAGUGGACGAACCGCUGGUGUUCGGGUUGUGUCGCCAGACGCAUUGCCCGGUAGCUAAGUUCGGCACAGAUAAGCGCUGAAAGCAUCUAAGCGCGAAGCUGGCCCCGAGAUGAGUCAUCCCUAGAGCCUCGAGCUCUCUAAAGGGUUGUCGUAGACUACGACGUUGAUAGGCAGGGUGUGUAAGCGCUGUGAGGCGUUGAGCUAACCUGUACUAAUGGCCCGUGAGGCUUAACCAUACAACACCCAAGGGGUUU
This 2004-nucleotide ribosomal RNA is filed under the name Salinivibrio kushneri. RNAcentral's name for it is "bacterial LSU rRNA". It matches the Rfam family "Bacterial large subunit ribosomal RNA", at positions 1272 to 2925 of the family's 2925-position model. The record is from RNAcentral. Lineage: Bacteria; Pseudomonadati; Pseudomonadota; Gammaproteobacteria; Vibrionales; Vibrionaceae.